AUGAAGAGGGAUUUUAAAGAAGAGCAGGCUCGGUUCCGAGAGUUUCUCGAAAAUCAGACUCGAAAAACAGGCCUAGCCGCGAUAAAGGAUAAAUUUUCUAGCUUGCCAUCGAAUUUUUCCUCUCGGAGGAGCCAUUAUAAAGUUGCAGAUAGUGAUUUUGACGAUUCAAAAGAAAAUAUGAACGAAUCGAAACAUAUCAAGCCAAGAAAUAAAAUUGACUGUCACAGAUCCACCAGACACACCAUUGACUUAAUUAACGAAAGAAGACUCGAUCUAAGGAUGUCCAAGAGCUUCACUGGUGGGAAAUCCUCAUCGCCAAAUGCUCAAAAUUUUGAUAUGUCCGACGAUCUAGACGAUAUACGACUCAGUUGUUUGACAAAACCGCAGAAAGGUACGAAAGAUAUUCCAAUGCCUGAUUUUAGAAAUUUUGGGAGGACGAAUAAUGGGUCCAGCGCUGGGGCAGCAUCAUGGCACUCGCAGAACUCUGAGCAUCGUAAACAUUCUCCAUUCAUCGAUGAAUCUGAACGGACUUUUAAGGUAAAAAAGAUAUCGAGUAAUUCAGAGGGACCGCACAUCGGUCCACGAUUAUCUCGAUCACGGGAUUCUAUCUUGAGCGAGGACACAGUAGACCUACCGUCUGAACCGAGACAAAAGACAAAGACUCGUGUUUCAGAUGUUGAGUACUCCAGACGUAAUAAGGCGCAGAACGGUCCGUCUGGAAUGUCGGAGGGCAACAGACUCUCAAGAUCAAGAGACUCGAUUUUAUGCGACGCCAAGAAUGAUCCGCCUCCACAAACAACCACGAGCAACAAAGGUAAAGCUCGAAGGAGCUCGUACGACAGUUCAACUCUUCCACAGUCAGGACUGAAAGCUUUGCCGCUGACAGACCUCAAUUUCAAACGUCAAUUUAACAUUUCGACGGGAAAAACUUCGGUAUUCAAUGAUAAUGUAGUGCAAUCAAUACCAAAUGACGUAUUAGCAGACGAACCUCUUUUCAAUUCGUCGGAUAAAGAAGAAGUCACGAUCAUAUUGGCAACACCGGAAGGCUUUGAGGAUGACAUUGGAGAAAGUGUUUCGGAAUGUUUUAAAGUCACUGAUGAGCAACUAAAUACCGGGUGUAGCUGUGAUAGCAAGCCGGCUUUUGGAGUCGUGGACGGACUCAAUAAUUUCAACAAAAAUAUGGAUUUCAUGGUCGAGCUUGGAGGCGGUCGCGACGAAAAAGGACCAAGAAAUCGAACUUUUUCGGGCACCGAAAAGAAUUCGAAGGGAAUCAAGACGUCAGGGAGUCUAGGCGAUAUUAGUCGAAGGUUUAGUUUCACAUUGAGCGCCCCUGAAAAGUUCCAAGGCGGUGAUUUAGAAGCCUCAGGCGAUAGGUUAAGUCCUAAUUUAGGAGUCCCGGAAAAUUUUAAAGAUCCAAGCAAAUCACCUGUUCCUAAAAGGGAUGGAAAAUAUUGCGCUAUUGACGGUGGAGCAGGAGAGAAAUUUAAUUUCAACCAAUUUGCCCCUGAAAAGUUUGAAUGGCCGCGUAGUAUAUCCCCAAACUCUGUCAAUAAGAAAAUACUAGAUGGACCUGCUGAGCUCUCUAAAUUUUCAUUCAUGAAUGCAUCUCUUGAGAGUGGAUUGAAAACGAAUAAUUUAAGAGGGAGGAAACACAGCUUUACUUUUGGGACUUCUGAACGCUUAAAUGGCAGUCCGUUGACGCCUGAUAAACAGAGUGAAUCCAGGCAAAGAAAAUUUAGCUUUUCGUCUGAAACUACAAGGAAGUUUAAUGACAGUGUCCCAGCGGUGCCGAAGCUAGAAAAUAAUCUUAAGAGCGAGCAAAUUCAUCUUUGGCUGAAUCAUCAAGGAAGUGCAAAGUUUGAGGAACCCUUACUACCCAAUAAGGGACUCGCGUCAUUUGGAGGUAUAGCGGUCGUUGACAAAAAGAACCAAUUUCAAGAUUCUUCUGAUAAGUUCAAAAAUGGUUCUCCUCAGAAAGGACUGAAAAACCAUCAGGGCAAUACUGCUCGCUCAAUCAGAAGCCCCGACGGCUGA
RNAcentral lists this long non-coding RNA (2034 nucleotides) under Bemisia tabaci. RNAcentral's name for it is "lncRNA ENSASIAIIG008790". Lineage: Eukaryota; Metazoa; Arthropoda; Insecta; Hemiptera; Aleyrodidae. The record is from RNAcentral.